AGCGAACGCUGGCGGCAGGCUUAACACAUGCAAGUCGAACGGGCAUCCUCGGAUUUCAGUGGCAGACGGGGGGGUAACACGUGGGAACGUACGCUUUUGUUCGGAAUAACUCAGGGAAACUUGAGCUAAUACCUGAUACGCCCUCUUGGGGAAAGGUUUACUGCCGUAGGAUCGGCCCGCGUCUGAUUGCCGUGUUGGUGGGGUAACGGCCUACCAAGGCUACGGUCAGUAGCUGGUCUGAGAGGAUGAUCAGCCACACUGGGACUGAGACACGGCCCAGACUCCUACGGGAGGCAGCGGUGGGGAGUAUUAGACGAUGGGCGCAAGCCUGAUCAAGCCAUGCCGCGUGAGUGAUGCAGGCCUUAGGGUUGUAAAGCCCUUUUGUCCGGGACGAUAAUGACGGUACCGGAAGAAUAAGCCCCGGCUAACUUCGUG
This 435-nucleotide ribosomal RNA is filed under the name uncultured bacterium. RNAcentral describes it as "partial 16S ribosomal RNA". It matches the Rfam family "Bacterial small subunit ribosomal RNA", at positions 29 to 507 of the family's 1533-position model. The record is from RNAcentral.